This 71-nucleotide transfer RNA is filed under the name Marmota monax (woodchuck). RNAcentral describes it as "tRNA.Ala". It matches the Rfam family "tRNA". Rfam says of the family: Transfer RNA (tRNA) molecules are approximately 80 nucleotides in length. Their secondary structure includes four short double-helical elements and three loops (D, anti-codon, and T loops). Further hydrogen bonds mediate the characteristic L-shaped molecular structure. tRNAs have two regions of fundamental functional importance: the anti-codon, which is responsible for specific mRNA codon recognition, and the 3' end, to which the tRNAs corresponding amino acid is attached (by aminoacyl-tRNA synthetases). tRNAs cope with the degeneracy of the genetic code in two manners: having more than one tRNA (with a specific anti-codon) for a particular amino acid; and 'wobble' base-pairing, i.e. permitting non-standard base-pairing at the 3rd anti-codon position. The record is from RNAcentral. Lineage: Eukaryota; Metazoa; Chordata; Mammalia; Rodentia; Sciuridae.
GGGGUUGUUGCUCAGUGGUAGAGCACUUGCCUAGCAUGUGUGAGGUACUGAGUUCGAUUCUCAGCACCGCA